Molecule: non-coding RNA, 849 nt
Organism: Monodelphis domestica (gray short-tailed opossum)
Lineage: Eukaryota; Metazoa; Chordata; Mammalia; Didelphimorphia; Didelphidae
Source: RefSeq, a predicted model, not a curated record
AUUAAGCAACUGGUCCAUGGCCACUCAUGAAGUAAAUGUCUAAGGCAAGAUUCAACCUCAAAUAUUCCUGACUCCAAGAUGUGCAGCGUUCUGGUCACUGUUAUUCUGCCUCUAAAUCUAAAAUGUGCCUUAAGAAGGAAAUUCUUUCCAGAUAUUCUUUCAUAAGAGUGGAUUCCUAGCACGACAGUCUGCGCAACACAGCCAGCAAGUUACAAGACCACAUAAGCCACCCAUCUUUGCUCCUGGAGGGAUAGAAAGAGCGUGAGCGUCAGGGCUUCACUUGUCCCUGUGCGUAAGACGAAGAGACGUAACGCAUGCGCAAAGCUACUGGGGCUAGGGGCAAGAAGGUUUCUCGGCUGCUCUUGGACAACUUGCCGCAGGUUUGGCUAAAACAUGGCAUCUCUAUUUGUAAAGAAAAUGAUGGUUAUGAUCACCAGUCCUCUUCUCCAUGUGAGCAGAUAUUCAGCUAAACCUUCCUCAGUCUCUGCGUUUCUGUUUUCAUCGCAACAAAAUACACUUCCCUUAGAUGCUGGUCCUGUGAAGUUUAGCACAAUAACUCAUCCAUUUCUUUCCCGUUAUCUGCUAAGACCCUUUCAGCCUAUUCUUGGGUUCAAAACAAAAGCUGUUCUAAAGAAGCGCUGUAAGGACUGUUAUUUUGUAAAAAGGCGUGGAAGAUGGUUUGUAUAUUGUGCCACAAAUCCAAGACACAAGCAACGACAGUUGAAGUCUGAUUACUGAAAUGAAGUGCAAAAUACCAUCUAUCAUUUAGAAAUUGGCAGAAACAAAAACCAAAACAACUGGAGCCAGUCAAAUGUUGGCAAUAAUACCAUUAAAUAACAAUAUCAUGAA